Molecule: transfer-messenger RNA, 360 nt
Filed under: Actinomycetota bacterium
Lineage: Bacteria; Bacillati; Actinomycetota
Rfam family: transfer-messenger RNA
About the family: Bacterial tmRNA, also known as 10Sa RNA or SsrA, is named for its dual tRNA and mRNA-like properties. Its role is to liberate the mRNA from a stalled ribosome. To accomplish this part of the tmRNA is used as a reading frame that ends in a translation stop signal.
Source: RNAcentral
GGGGCUGAACUGGUCUCGACCUUGAUCGUACCGAGGUAGGAGAAGCGAGCCGAGGACUCCCGGUGUGACCUCGUUAAUCCUCUGGGAAAAACAUAAAUGCUGCUGCUUAAAGCACAGUAGCCACCCCUUUGCGGUGGCCGUCGGCCUGAGAUGAGCCUGCGAUCUCAGGAUCCGGCGUCGCCUAGCAGGCUUACCGUCCGGAGUUCGCCCGUGGCGAAGGACGGGACAUCUAACAGGGGCUAGGGACCCACCGCCGCCGUUCGCGGGCCGGUAGGUCCCGAAUCUCAACCGCGAACUACGCUCGUAGAAGGCCUACCGAGGGAUCGGGGGACCCGGGUUCGAUUCCCGGCAGCUCCACAA